This 465-nucleotide ribosomal RNA is filed under the name Vreelandella stevensii. Its description in RNAcentral is "partial 16S ribosomal RNA". It matches the Rfam family "Bacterial small subunit ribosomal RNA", at positions 338 to 795 of the family's 1533-position model. Lineage: Bacteria; Pseudomonadati; Pseudomonadota; Gammaproteobacteria; Oceanospirillales; Halomonadaceae. The record is from RNAcentral.
CCUACGGGGUGCUGCAGUGGGGAAUAUUGGACAAUGGGCGAAAGCCUGAUCCAGCCAUGCCGCGUGUGUGAAGAAGGCCUUCGGGUUGUAAAGCACUUUCAGUGGGGAAGAAAGCCUUGGGGCUAAUACCCUCGAGGAAGGACAUCACCCACAGAAGAAGCACCGGCUAACUCCGUGCCAGCAGCCGCGGUAAUACGGAGGGUGCGAGCGUUAAUCGGAAUUACUGGGCGUAAAGCGCGCGUAGGCGGUCUGAUAAGCCGGUUGUGAAAGCCCCGGGCUCAACCUGGGAACGGCAUCCGGAACUGUCAGGCUAGAGUGCAGGAGAGGAAGGUAGAGUUCCCGGUGUAGCGGUGAAAUGCGUAGAGAUCGGGAGGAACACCAGUGGCGAAGGCGGCCUUCUGGACUGACACUGACGCUGAGGUGCGAAAGCGUGGGUAGCAAACAGGAUUAGAUACCCGGGUAGUC